Molecule: long non-coding RNA, 1122 nt
Organism: Oncorhynchus nerka (sockeye salmon)
Lineage: Eukaryota; Metazoa; Chordata; Actinopteri; Salmoniformes; Salmonidae
Exons: 2
Source: RefSeq, a predicted model, not a curated record
AGCAACUUAGCUGCUACCGGUCCGGUCCAGGCUACCUGCAGACCUCCUCCCAGACCUCAUUUUCAGCACCAACAGGAGAGGUGGUGGAAAUGAUCAGAGUUGCAUUCAACUUGAAUAAAGAUGAGAAACUCUGGUCUGUGGAGCCACUGGUCUGAGGGGAGGACUUCUGUUGAAACCAUUUCCAUUUUUGGGAUAUUUUCUAGGACUGUAGAGGUGGUAAGCAGAGAUUAAUUUAACUAGGAUACAGAUGAGAGUCUCUGUUCUUGGGAGGAGGGUCACUGACCUUCGAUGGUUUGUUGCCUGAUAAAGAGGAUACUUGCUGGCUUGAGGAGACUAUAAUGUUUUGAGGAGGAAAUGUGGCUCGAUGACUUAAAGAGGAGGAGGAAUUAUUGGGCGACACUUUUAAUUACCAACGUAACCUCAGUGGAACUUUGGCUUCAUUGAGUUCCAGCUCUAGGCAGACAGUACGUCAGGAAUGCUGUAAGACAUCACAGAGACAGGUAAGUAUCUAUAUAUUUACAUGUGUGUUGCAUGUACACUAAACCCUCACAUUUGGAUAAUGUCACUUUUUAAAGUGAUGACAUGUAUAUUAACAGUGUAAAACAUGAAUAGAUGUUUAAACAUUCUUUACCCCAUCCUAAUUUUCUUCCAGAUGCUUGGCUUUUUCUUUGUCUUUGUGUUGGAGAUUGGCUCUGAUGUUUCAGCCUCUUCUGGAGCUUCUAGCUGCUGGCUGUCUGGCCCCCCCUGAUGGUUCUCUGGCCCCUCCUGCUGGUUCUCUGAACUCCCCUCCUGGUUGUCUGCCCAUGCCUGUUGCCUCCUUGGCCUUUCCUGGUGGCCAUCAGCAGAUCCAGUGGGCUCUUGGCUUACUUGUUGGCCUGUGGCCCACCAGGGCAACUCCUGACCGUGGUUGUAAUCGUGGCUGUGUUGGGUGGUUAGACACCGGGUAUUGAUUUGAGCAUCAGCCUCCAGAUUCAUCUGAUCCAGGAGGGGGUAAGAAGACAGUCCCAGUAGGAGACGGAGAUCGUCCAGAAGAAGAAGAGCUGUCCAUCUCCUCAGAGACUGCAGGAAAGGUCUACAAGUUUUAUUUCUGGAAAAUAAAGAGAUGCUUUCGUUCAGCAACAA